Ictalurus furcatus (blue catfish) is the source of this 862-nucleotide long non-coding RNA. RefSeq lists it as uncharacterized. Lineage: Eukaryota; Metazoa; Chordata; Actinopteri; Siluriformes; Ictaluridae. The record is from RefSeq and is a predicted model, not a curated record. The transcript is spliced from 4 exons.
CUUUUACUUUCAGUAUUUGCAGGCCUUUGCUGGAUGGAUCAGAAAGCUGUCUGAUAACAAACCAUAUCUAUGUGUGUGUGUGUUUAUUAUCCUACCUCACUGCCCCUCCACCUCUGCAGAAAAAAACAGGUAGACGGAAGUGAAAGUGAAAGUCAGAGUCUCCAUUUUGUGUGGAGGGGAAAGUACACCAUUUCAGGAGUAAAAACACAGGUUUGAUUUAACACACCGAUGUUGGAGUGAAGUAAACGUGUGUCCUGCUGAUAUCUGGAGAAGGAGACAUGACCUCCAACAUGAGUGUGUCUGGAGAACAGGACUUAAAGAAAGACGAGAGACCAUAACAGAAGAAAUCUAACCUCAGCAGAAAUCAGUUGGUCUCCAUAUUUAAGGAGCUGGAACACAAAGUCAUCAUUCUGAUAAAGAAUGAGCUGAAGUGGUUUAGGAAGCUCCUGAGUCCAGAUUACCCAGCAUGCACUGAGAGGGAGGUGGAGGAUGAGGAGGAUCUGCAGAGUGUCAGAGACGGAGCGCUGAAGAUCACACUGCACGUCCUGAAGAACAUGAACCACACAGAUCUCGCUAACACACUGCACAACAGUAAGAGCUCUGAGUCAUGGCUUUAUUCCGUCAGGUUCACUUUAGAGAGAGGAAAUAGUUUUAGAUAUGAACACUUUUAGUUUGAAGUUUGAGUUUAGUAUCAUGUACAUCUGCUGCUUUUCUGUUCUGUUCGUGGUCCAGCUUGUGGUGACUCUGUCCAAUGACCCUGUUCCUUCAGGAAUAUUUAGUACAUGAAUCAGGAAUGAACAGCAGCAUUUGAAUUUUACAUUUAAUCCUGUGUUCAGCGAUUUUACAUUAAAACAUGUUAUUA